AGGGAGGUCACGGCGUAAAGGUGCAGCUGCCGCCACCGCCGCUUCUGCAAGGUCUCAGGGACGGGCUGCAGCCAUGUCCUAUUGCCGGCAGGAAGGCUUUGCCCAGGAUGGUUCCUUCUGGAAUGUCUAUUCCCCUCCUUCCCUCCCUGAAGCUCUUUGUCAGGGACAAAGGUAGGAUCCCUCCCCUUCCGUCUUCUCCACUGGAUGCCUGUGUCGUAUUCAUCUGUGACCACCAGGUACUACCACAGAGCUGGAGCUGAGGAAGAUCCUGUGGUCUCUGUAAAAUGGAGAUAAAGUAAUACCCACCAGUGAACUCACAGAUGUAAUAAAACACAUUGCAUGGGACAAAAAUGUGUAAAAGAUACAGCUGUUACUGUUCUACUUUCGAUCCAGUGUGAACUGUGCUACAAGGGAAAAUGUCCAGGAAGGCACAUGGAAGGAUCGAAUCAUAUUUGUAACCAAAGAAGAUCAUGAAACUCCAAGCAGUGCAGAAUUGGUGGCUGAUGACCCCAACGAUCCAUACGAGGAGCAUGGAUUGAUACUGCCAAAUGGAAACAUUAACUGGAACUGCCCAUGCCUUGGGG
This 584-nucleotide small RNA is filed under the name Pan troglodytes (chimpanzee). RNAcentral's name for it is "processed transcript". The record is from RNAcentral. Lineage: Eukaryota; Metazoa; Chordata; Mammalia; Primates; Hominidae.